UUAACCACUUUGUAUAUUUUCUGUUUUUCAAGUAACUAACAAGAGUUUAGGUUUGGGAUCAACUGUUGGCUUAAAUUAGUUUUGGAUGGGUCUGACAUGCGCUUUAUACCUUGAAACGUUUGAAUAUGGUAUAGGAUAAUUGGAUAUGUCAAAACAUUGAACUUUGGUACACCUAGAAGCAUUUAAAUCAGAGUUAUAAUCUUCUUUCAUUGUAGACACAUGGUGGAGGUGGACAGACACCCUUUGACUCUUGAGCAAAUUAACACAAUAAUAUACUAACUAAUAGGGUACAAUCCAUGGUGGCCACCUACCUAAGAGUUAAUUUUGUAUGAGUUUUCUUAACACCCAAAUGUUGUAGGGUUAGUCAGGUUGUCUCGUGAGAUUAGUCAAAGUGCACGUAAACCAAAUGUUGUAGGGUUAGUCAGGUUGUCUCGUGAGAUUAGUCAAAGUGCACGUAAGCUGGUUCGAAUACUCGUAGAUAUUAAGAAA
Long non-coding RNA from Cucumis sativus (cucumber), 489 nucleotides. RefSeq lists it as uncharacterized. The record is from RefSeq and is a predicted model, not a curated record. Lineage: Eukaryota; Viridiplantae; Streptophyta; Magnoliopsida; Cucurbitales; Cucurbitaceae. The transcript has 2 exons.